Long non-coding RNA from Orbicella faveolata, 401 nucleotides. The record is from RefSeq and is a predicted model, not a curated record. Lineage: Eukaryota; Metazoa; Cnidaria; Anthozoa; Scleractinia; Merulinidae.
UUUCAGAGGAAAAGGUCUUGCUAUUGACGCGUAUUCAGUUUGGUUUCAUUCUGGUCGACUCACCAAAAACCAGGAAACUCCGUCAGUGUUGUUUCAGUUUUUGUCACUUUUGGUUUCAUUUUCAUCAGAAGACUGAGAAACUGAACACGUGGAGAAGGUCUUGUCAUUGGCGCUUAUCCAUUUUGGUUUCAUUCUGGUCGACUCAUCAAAUCCUGUGAGUAUACAUCAAUAUUUUAAUAGCUUUGUUAUUAAUAGUAGACUGAAAUCAUUGACUAAACUGUUUACAGUCGAUCUACUUUUUGAACGCAAUUAAAGAACCUGGGAGAAUUUGUCACCGUAACGUCGACUGAAAUGACUAACUACUUUUAAUUCUCACGUCGUGCAGUUAAUAGAUUAAGCNG